Molecule: non-coding RNA, 95 nt
Organism: Notechis scutatus (mainland tiger snake)
Lineage: Eukaryota; Metazoa; Chordata; Lepidosauria; Squamata; Elapidae
Source: RefSeq, a predicted model, not a curated record
UUUGUUUUAAAAGAAGGAGAGACUGGGACAAUUCAAGAAUAUAUGUUCUCACAAUUUUGUCUGUUAACUCAGUUCUAGGCAAACCCUCCUUCCCA